Molecule: ribosomal RNA, 693 nt
Filed under: Triticum aestivum (bread wheat)
Lineage: Eukaryota; Viridiplantae; Streptophyta; Magnoliopsida; Poales; Poaceae
Description: partial small subunit ribosomal RNA
Source: RNAcentral
AUGCCUGCUGUGAUUGUUCAUGCUGAGUUUGUUCAAUAUGAUUUGAAGAGAGAGAGAGAGAUUGUUCAGACUUCAGAGACGAAGAGCAGCAGCGUCCAAGAGGUGCGUGAGGAUCAACUGUCCGACAUCAGCGGCCAGGCGGCGUCUAACAACGAGGCAUCCAACACCUCCUCCCGCCCCAAGCUCGCCCUCGACCUGUCGCUCACCGUCACCGCCGCCGACACCACAACCGCAAAAUCGAGCACCACCGACAGGACCGGCGGCGGGUGUUCACGUGCAACUACUGCCAGGGGAAGUUCUUCAGCUCGCAGGCGCUGGGCGGGCACCAGAACGCGCACCGGCGGGAGCGCACGCUGGCCGGCGUGCGGUGCACCAGCUCGAGGCCUACCCCUACGGCUACGCCGAUGUGGCCUCCCUCCAGCUCUAUGGCUCGCUCGUGCUGUAUCCCAUCGGCAUCAAGGCGCACGCGCUGGUGCACCCUGCGGCGGCGCAGGCGGAGCGGCAGCAAGGAAGCCGCCUCCCUUGCUGCGCCGCGGGCGUUGCUGGGCCCGAUGCCGUUCCUCAUGGGUGGCGACGAGGAGGUCAGCUUCGGGUGCCCCGACAGCUUUAGGCCACCACCGGCGUGCUCCCUCUCCUCCACUCCGGCCACAACCUGGGGCUUGGGCAGCAGCGGCAAGCCGACGAGGAGCCUGA